CGGGUGAGUAAUGUCUGGGGAACUGCCUGAUGGAGGGGGAUAACUACUGGAAACGGUAGCUAAUACCGCAUAACGUCGCAAGACCAAAGAGGGGGACCUUCGGGCCUCUUGCCAUCGGAUGUGCCCAGAUGGGAUUAGCUAGUAGGUGGGGUAACGGCUCACCUAGGCGACGAUCCCUAGCUGGUCUGAGAGGAUGCCAGCCACACUGGAACUGAGACACGGUCCAG
This 227-nucleotide ribosomal RNA is filed under the name uncultured bacterium. Its description in RNAcentral is "partial 16S ribosomal RNA". It matches the Rfam family "Bacterial small subunit ribosomal RNA", at positions 103 to 334 of the family's 1533-position model. The record is from RNAcentral.